CACGUAGGGUGCGAGCGUUGUCCGGAAUUACUGGGCGUAAAGAGUUCGUAGGCGGUUUGUCGCGUCGUUCGUGAAAACUUGGGGCUUAACUCCAAGCGUGCGGGCGAUACGGGCAGACUUGAGUACUACAGGGGAGACUGGAAUUCCUGGUGUAGCGGUGAAAUGCGCAGAUAUCAGGAGGAACACCGGUGGCGAAGGCGGGUCUCUGGGUAGUAACUGACGCUGAGGAACGAAAGCGUGGGUAGCGAACAGG
This 253-nucleotide ribosomal RNA is filed under the name uncultured bacterium. RNAcentral describes it as "partial 16S ribosomal RNA". It matches the Rfam family "Bacterial small subunit ribosomal RNA", at positions 524 to 776 of the family's 1533-position model. The record is from RNAcentral.